Molecule: ribosomal RNA, 253 nt
Filed under: uncultured bacterium
Lineage: Bacteria
Description: partial 16S ribosomal RNA
Rfam family: Bacterial small subunit ribosomal RNA
Source: RNAcentral
UACGUAGGUGGCAAGCGUUGUCCGGAUUUACUGGGCGUAAAGAGCGCGCGGGCGGCCAAGUCAGUCGAAUGUGAAAGCCCCCGGCUCAACUGGGGAGGGUCAUUCGAUACUGCUCGGCUCGAAGACAGGAGAGGGAAGUGGAAUUCCCGGUGUAGUGGUGAAAUGCGUAGAUAUCGGGAGGAACACCAGUGGCGAAGGCGACUUUCUGGCCUGUUCUUGACGCUGAGGCGCGAAAGCUAGGGGAGCAAACGGG